This 497-nucleotide ribosomal RNA is filed under the name uncultured bacterium. RNAcentral describes it as "partial 16S ribosomal RNA". It matches the Rfam family "Bacterial small subunit ribosomal RNA", at positions 28 to 507 of the family's 1533-position model. The record is from RNAcentral.
GAUGAACGCUGGCGGCGUGCCUAAUACAUGCAAGUCGAGCGAACAGACGAGGAGCUUUCUCCUCUUACGUUAGCGGCGGACGGGUGAGUAACACGUGGAUCACCUACCUAUAAGACUGGGAUAACUUCGGGAAACCGGAUCUAAUACCGGAUAAUAUAUUGAACCGCAUGGUUCAAUAGUUAAAGACGGUUUUGCUGUCACUUAUAGAUGGAUCCGCGCCGCAUUAGCUAGUUGGUAAGGGAACGGCUUACCAAGGCAACGAUGCGUAGCCGACCUGAGAGGGUGAUCGGCCACACUGGAACUGAGACACGGUCCAGACUCCUACGGGAGGCAGCAGUAGGGAAUCUUCCGCAAUGGGCGAAAGCUGGACGGAGCAACGCCGCGUGAGUGAUGAAGGUCUUCGGAUCGUAAAACUCUGUUAUUAGGGAAGAACAAAUGUGUAAGUAACUAUGCACGUCUUGACGGUACCUAAUCAGAAAGCCACGGCUAACUACGUG